AGUUUGAUCAUGGCUCAGAUUGAACGCUGGCGGCAGGCCUAACACAUGCAAGUCGAGCGGAUGAAGGGAGCUUGCUCCUGGAUUCAGCGGCGGACGGGUGAGUAAUGCCUAGGAAUCUGCCUGAUAGUGGGGGAUAACGUCCGGAAACGGGCGCUAAUACCGCAUACGUCCUGAGGGAGAAAGUGGGGGAUCUUCGGACCUCACGCUAUCAGAUGAGCCUAGGUCGGAUUAGCUAGUUGGUGGGGUAAAGGCCUACCAAGGCGACGAUCCGUAAC
RNAcentral lists this ribosomal RNA (275 nucleotides) under Pseudomonas aeruginosa. Its description in RNAcentral is "partial 16S ribosomal RNA". It matches the Rfam family "Bacterial small subunit ribosomal RNA", at positions 10 to 287 of the family's 1533-position model. Lineage: Bacteria; Pseudomonadati; Pseudomonadota; Gammaproteobacteria; Pseudomonadales; Pseudomonadaceae. The record is from RNAcentral.